AUUGAACGCUGGCGGCAUGCCUUACACAUGCAAGUCGAACGGCAGCACGGGUGCUUGCACCUGGUGGCGAGUGGCGAACGGGUGAGUAAUACAUCGGAACGUACCUUAUCGUGGGGGAUAACGCAGCGAAAGUUGCGCUAAUACCGCAUACGCCCUGAGGGGGAAAGCGGGGGACCGUAAGGCCUCGCGCGAUUAGAGCGGCCGAUGUCUGAUUAGCUUGUUGGUGAGGUAAAAGCUCACCAAGGCGAUGAUCAGUAGCUGGUCUGAGAGGACGGUAAGCCGAACUGGGACGGAGACACGGCCCAGACUCCUACGGGAGGCAGCAGUGGGGAAUUUUGGACAAUGGGGGCAACCCUGAUCCAGCAAUGCCGCGUGAGUGAAGAAGGCCUUCGGGUUGUAAAGCUCUUUUGUCAGGGAAGAAACAGCAGCUCUAACACAGUCUGCGAAUGACGGUACCUGAAGAAUAAGCACCGGCUAACUACGUGCCAGCAGCCGCGGUAA
Molecule: ribosomal RNA, 501 nt
Filed under: uncultured bacterium
Lineage: Bacteria
Description: partial 16S ribosomal RNA
Rfam family: Bacterial small subunit ribosomal RNA
Source: RNAcentral